GGAUCAAUAUAUCGGUCGUGCCUCUGGUUCGUACUGGUAUCAUUGAUUUCUCCUUUCUGACGAACCAUGAUGUCAUUAAUUUGGUGUUAUGGGGAGUUAGGACUGUUACUUUGAAAAAAUUAGAGUGUUUAAAGCAGGCAUUAGCUUGAAUACAUUAGCAUGGAAUAAUGAAAUAGGACGUUUGACCCUAUUUUGUUGGUUUCUAGGAUUGACGUAAUGAUUAAUAGGGAUAGUUGGGGGCAUUAGUAUUCAAUUGUCAGAGGUGAAAUUCUUGGAUUUAUUGAAGACUAACUACUGCGAAAGCAUUUGCCAAGGAUGUUUUCAUUAAUCAAGAACGAAAGUUAGGGGAUCGAAGACGAUCAGAUACCGUCGUAGUCUUAACCAUAAACUAUGCCGACUAGGGAUCGGAUGAUGUUAAUUUUUUAAUGACUCAUUCGGCGCCUUACGGGAAACCAAAGUGUUUGGGUUCCGGGGGGAGUAUGGUCGCAAGGCUGAAACUUAAAGGAAUUGACGGAAGGGCACCACCAGGGGUGGAGCCUGCGGCUUAAUUUGACUCAACACGGGGAAACUCACCAGGUCCAGACAUAGUAAGGAUUGACAGAUUGAGAGC
Molecule: ribosomal RNA, 610 nt
Filed under: Glomus sp. ZJ
Lineage: Eukaryota; Fungi; Glomeromycota; Glomeromycetes; Glomerales; Glomeraceae
Description: SSU rRNA
Rfam family: Eukaryotic small subunit ribosomal RNA
Source: RNAcentral